GUCAUUGCGAUAAUAAUCCUGCUCAGUACGAGAGAAACCGCAGGUCCGGACAUUUGGUUCACGCACUCGGUCGAGCGGCCGGUGGUGCGAAGCUACCAUCCGUGGGAUUAUGCCUGAACGCCUCUAAGGCCGUAUCCUCUCUAGUCAAAGGUGGCAAUGAU
RNAcentral lists this non-coding RNA (161 nucleotides) under Trachymyrmex cornetzi. Its description in RNAcentral is "Eukaryotic large subunit ribosomal RNA". It matches the Rfam family "Eukaryotic large subunit ribosomal RNA", at positions 3007 to 3161 of the family's 3401-position model. The record is from Rfam by way of RNAcentral. Lineage: Eukaryota; Metazoa; Arthropoda; Insecta; Hymenoptera; Formicidae.